RNAcentral lists this long non-coding RNA (1176 nucleotides) under Homo sapiens (human). RNAcentral's name for it is "HSALNT0051941". Lineage: Eukaryota; Metazoa; Chordata; Mammalia; Primates; Hominidae. The record is from RNAcentral.
GAGACUCUUGUUACUUCCUGUGGAACCCGUGGAUUGGAAGGUUAUCUAGGCUGCUGCAGAACUCUUCCACCCUGUGCACAGAGAAGUACAUAAAGUGGGAUCUUUCUCAGUGGAGCAGUAUAUAAAACAGAUGCAGACUGAAGGAUGUUAGAAGCACAAAGAAGGUCAUGUGCACGACAUUCAGCUGAGUACAAAAUUCAACAUCUGGAAGAGGUUAAAGACUACACCUGCAGGUUUGUUGCAUGAGUAAAUUCCUGAUUCUGAGGCUUGGAGUUACAAUGAUCCCAUUACUCAGGCAGUGAGAAUAUUACCCAACACGUAGAUCUUCAAGGCUCCAGAUUGUUCUACUCCUGAUGUCAGGAGGAAGCUGAUUUACCUUUGGAAUGAGAUAACCUCUGGGAUCCCUGAACAGUUAAAGGGCAGACGGAAAUAAGGCUUGGCAAUGAAGAUGGACAAGGAACAUAUGCCAGUGCACAUCUAUUAUAAGCCAUUUAUCCCAGACUGUGAUGCAAGUGUGCUUAAGUCUGAAAUGCAAGUGACUCGUACUUACAGGCAAAAUACAUUCCAGCUGAGGAAAAAAGGAUUUUUGUUGCUGAUUUAAUGGAGUGACAGCCUUUCAGAAGUCUUUAAAUUCACCAUUUUCACUGAUGUCACCCUGUUACCAGAAAGGAGUCCUAAUUCUGACCCCAAGAGAAGGUCCUUAAAUCUCGUGCAAGAAAGAUUUCAGGAUUCAAAGAAUUAGCUGGACUAUGUCUCCAGGUGGAUGACUCUAUGGAAACUUUGAGCUGUAUGGAACAACCUCCUGAUCAUCCAUUUACCUUGCUUUGGUACAUUAGGACUUUAAUAGAAACUGCCUAAUGUGCAGGUAAAAAACUAUCAGGACUCAAAACAAGGCCUGUCCAAUCCCUGAUGGUAUGCUUUCUUCUGUAACCUGAGAUGUUUUCCAUUUAUUAUUACUAUUAAAUAGAAUUAUCAUGGGAAGCAUUGAUUUCAAGUGUGGGUUUGGUAUAUUUUGAAUGCUCAAUGAAUGUUAAAUGUCAUUUUUGGUGCUUUUAUAUUGUGUUCUCAUAAAAUGAGAAUUUUCUAGAAAAAGAGAAAUAACCAAUGAAAAGACAGCAGGAUCACCACAACUAGUUGGUUUCUACCUACCUCCUGUGUUUCUUUUUUAUAUUAUUA